RNAcentral lists this ribosomal RNA (707 nucleotides) under Pseudoalteromonas sp. FCH-42. RNAcentral's name for it is "bacterial SSU rRNA". It matches the Rfam family "Bacterial small subunit ribosomal RNA", at positions 56 to 758 of the family's 1533-position model. Lineage: Bacteria; Pseudomonadati; Pseudomonadota; Gammaproteobacteria; Alteromonadales; Pseudoalteromonadaceae. The record is from RNAcentral.
UGCAAGUCGAGCGGUAACAGGAAAGUAGCUUGCUACUUUGCUGACGAGCGGCGGACGGGUGAGUAAUGCUUGGGAACAUGCCUUGAGGUGGGGGACAACAGUUGGAAACGACUGCUAAUACCGCAUAAUGUCUACGGACCAAAGGGGGCUUCGGCUCUCGCCUUUAGAUUGGCCCAAGUGGGAUUAGCUAGUUGGUGAGGUAAUGGCUCACCAAGGCAACGAUCCCUAGCUGGUUUGAGAGGAUGAUCAGCCACACUGGGACUGAGACACGGCCCAGACUCCUACGGGAGGCAGCAGUGGGGAAUAUUGCACAAUGGGCGCAAGCCUGAUGCAGCCAUGCCGCGUGUGUGAAGAAGGCCUUCGGGUUGUAAAGCACUUUCAGUCAGGAGGAAAGGUUAGUAGUUAAUACCUGCUAGCUGUGACGUUACUGACAGAAGAAGCACCGGCUAACUCCGUGCCAGCAGCCGCGGUAAUACGGAGGGUGCGAGCGUUAAUCGGAAUUACUGGGCGUAAAGCGUACGCAGGCGGUUUGUUAAGCGAGAUGUGAAAGCCCCGGGCUCAACCUGGGAACUGCAUUUCGAACUGGCAAACUAGAGUGUGAUAGAGGUGGUAGAAUUUCAGGUGUAGCGGUGAAAUGCGUAGAGAUCUGAAGGAAUACCGAUGGCGAAGGCAGCCACCUGGGUCAACACUGACGCUCAUGUACGAAA